RNAcentral lists this long non-coding RNA (3244 nucleotides) under Anas zonorhyncha (Eastern spot-billed duck). RNAcentral describes it as "lncRNA (ENSAZOG00000003426.1)". The record is from RNAcentral. Lineage: Eukaryota; Metazoa; Chordata; Aves; Anseriformes; Anatidae.
GCUCCUGUGGGCUGCACACCAAGAGUCAUCACCCCUCCUAGUCCUUUAGCAACCUUGUGUAGAUGAAUUAUUGGGAAGUUUGGUCCACCUGCCUAUUUGCAGGCUGGUUUUGAAACCAGGGUUUAGGAAUGAGGGCUCCUUCCUCAAAAAGGAAAAGUAUCUGAAGGAUUUGGGAGAAAAAAAAAGGCUGGAAAUAUAAAGGAUGAGUUUGUAGGUGCUUGUAUGCUUUGCUCAGGAACCCAGCCUGCAGUGGGGCUGCCUUUAUGGGAAGCUCAUCGGGAUGCAGGACUGUAGUUGGUCAAAUCUCCCAUUGCCUUUUUGGAGACUGAAAGUCAGAACAGGAAUUGCUGCCAGCAGUUUGUGUCGGCUCGCUCGUGUGGGUGAGGUGCAGGCACGAUAUUGCUUCCCCUUCUUUGUUCUCCUUCAGCUUCUGAACGCAGGAGACCUCGUGGACAUCCCUAUGGCCGCAGCCCACUGCAAGGCAGACCCACACAAGGCAGCUGCAUGGCUCUGUGUGUCCAGGGGUCAGGACCAGAGACGGCUGGACCAGAGCUGGAAACCUCUGAGAUGCCUGGAGCCCAGCUCCUAGCAGAUGAGGGAUUGACCAUCAACAGAAAUCGGAAGGAAAACUGUUUAUUUCAGUGGAGGUAAUGUUAUUUAAAGCGGAACAAAACCAAAACUAACGUGACAGGUUUGGGAAGCACGGCCAGUUCCCACAAAGCCAGUGGUACGUGGGGCUGCUUUCAGAGCCCUCUGGAGGCUGUCUCCAUCCUUUGGGGGCUUGUGUCCUGCAAAGAGGCCCUGCUCUGGCUUAAUCCGUAGGACUUCUGUCUGCCUCUGCCAGGCUCUCCUGAAAAAUAAAACGUGAAUGUCAGCACAAUUUACUCUACUUAUUGGAGGUUAUUUUGUUAACGAGCUGAUGAUACAGAGCCCAGUGUUCAUAUUUUAAGACGUAUAUAAUGGAGCAGUUGUGUUUGUUGGAAAGACACGCUUCAGAAAGUGAAUGAAAACCUUUUUUUUGUGAAUUUCACAGCCCUGGGAUCCACGGGAGGAGGAGCAGGUUCAGAGUGGACACGUUUUGUGGAGGGUGGAUCCAAAAAGACCUCUGAAUGAAGCAAGCGGUGGCCAUCGGCAGAGCUUCUUGGGAUGAGGAUCAGCUUUUAGUGGUGAGGCUUUCCCCAGGCUGUGCUCGAUCUGAGCCAGUUCAUUGCUGUGCUGCGUGUGUAACUCUUUCUAUGAGAGGACAUUUCUUGGGAUAUUGCAUUCCUCAGAAUAUUACAGGAUAUCACCUGCCAGGCACCUCCUAUCUUCGCUUCUGUUCCCUGGACUGCGGUUUCCAACCUCUUCCCUGGUGCCUCAGUGUUUCCCUGGUAUUCUCCCGUGUUUAAUGGCUUUUCUUUCUCAUAGUGUGCAAAAUUGGAGUGCAAUUCUUACACCGCGUGUCCUCAGCAGAAUUUAUAUACAUGCAUUUUAUCAAAUCUGUCGCCUCUAGACUCCUGUGACAUGUUUAGAGUCCACGUAUGAUGGAUUAGCAACAAAGACAGCAGGCAGCAUACCUUCCCUAGCCUCCCUUUUCUGCUCCCCUCUUGUUUUGUAGGUCAUGCUCACGCUCUGCUCAAAUUUUGGUUAAUCGUGUUUUCUAUCCAGUCUCCUUUGCGCUAUGUCCAGGGCUGGAUUUCAUCAGCAUCUCAAGACAACGACUGCCAGACUUUAAUUAACUAUCGACAGAAAAAAAAGUAAGUUUUCCCAUCUGUGUCAAAGUUUUGCUUGUUCUGUAAGAUGCAGUGGACUCUUCAGUGCAAUUUAAAAAGAAAUUCAGUGUUUUUUUUUUUACUUUUUCCUACCCAAAAUAUCACGUGGCAGUUUAGUCACAUCACUCCUUGUUCUGCCCACAAUAAACCUAAAAAGUCAGGCCUGAAUUGUGGUUGCCUUGGAUGUAGGUGGGGGUUAGUACCCGAUAUAAUCCCCCUCAGUCACCUCUUCAAAUGAUAGGACCAGCAUCUUCCAUUUUUUUCCUGAAGACCAGGAAUUUCUGACCCCAGGGCUCUUCUCAGCCUCCUGCACACGUGGCUGGAGUCGAGGCCAUCAUGAUUUUUGUCGUUUCGGCAGAGAUCUUGUAUUCGCUCCGAGGUGGACAUAAUUCUUGUUUUCUGACAAGCCCUGGGAUUUUGUUUGGGCUUUCUGCAGCUGUGUUGUGAUGCUGAUGUCAGCCCUUGAAGCAAUCAGUCUGAACACGCUUCUAUUUGGAGGAACUUGGUAUUUUUACAUUAAACUGCCUUUUGACCUGAACCAAAACAGAUUUCUGCAGUUACGCUGCUGAGCAUUUGAGCUCUGUUUUUGUCCUCCCUGGCACCUUUCAACUUGGACUGAGAGAAGAGGGGGAGCAACACUUACUGAGAAAGGAAAAAGAUGUGAGGAGAGAAUGGAGAAGUUGCAGUGCUCCAAACCCCUUCACAAAUGUUGUUUUUAACUGGGAAUGGGAGGACCUCUUACCUCUUUUGAAGAAGGAGUGGUAGCACGUCUUUUUUCCUGUCUUCUGAGCUGCCACCUAUAAGGGAAAGUCAAAUUUCUCAGGGAACAGAGCCAUGGGUGGGGAUUUCAUGCAGAAAAAGGUGCAGGUACCUUAUGAGAAACGCUGGCUGUUUUCCCAAAAUCAUGUUCUGUGGCAUGGACACGUAAAAUGACAAGAGAGGAGAAGUGUGAAGAUAAACCCCAUCUCCUCCCCAAGACCCAGAGACACUACAGAUCACCGGGGCAAGGGGGGAAGCGUUUCUUAGAGCUGCUCUGGGGACUCCAGCAUGGGGUGGAGAUACCCAAACUGGUUGUACUGGAGGGUGGCUGGGUGCUAGGCAGUCCCGCUGCCAAGAGCGGAACGAACUUCUGUCCAUCCUGCUUCUUGGCACAAUAAAUCAGCCCGGCAAAUCUGAAGCAUGUGGAUGUGCAGAGACCAUCGAGGGGAAUGCCAGCUUUCGUUUUCUGCUGUGGGAUUUGGAACAUUCUCCCCGCCUGUAGUCACAUUCCCAUAUUCUUUCAGUUAAGCUUAUAAUGCCAUUUGACCUGGGAAAAAUGUGCAAACCAGUAAGAGGAUAAGACAGCAUUUAUCCUCUGCACACUAUUUUAAAACCUUUCUCUUUUUUUCAACUUUUGUUUGCCCUUUUUUUCCUUUCUUUUUUUUUUUUUUCCCAAACCUCAAAGGAAAAAGUAAAUGAAUUGAACCAUAAAUUUCAAGAGAGAAAAAAGGAAG